Molecule: ribosomal RNA, 253 nt
Filed under: uncultured bacterium
Lineage: Bacteria
Description: partial 16S ribosomal RNA
Rfam family: Bacterial small subunit ribosomal RNA
Source: RNAcentral
UACGAAGGGGGCUAGCGUUGUUCGGAAUUACUGGGCGUAAAGCGCACGUAGGCGGUCAUUUAAGUCAGGGGUGAAAUCCCGGGGCUCAACCCCGGAACUGCCUUUGAUACUGGGUGUCUCGAGUCCGGAAGAGGUGAGUGGAAUUCCGAGUGUAGAGGUGAAAUUCGUAGAUAUUCGGAGGAACACCAGUGGCGAAGGCGGCUCACUGGGCCGUGACUGACGCUGAGGAGCGAAAGCGUGGGUAGCAAACAGG